This 468-nucleotide ribosomal RNA is filed under the name uncultured bacterium. RNAcentral describes it as "partial 16S ribosomal RNA". It matches the Rfam family "Bacterial small subunit ribosomal RNA", at positions 28 to 507 of the family's 1533-position model. The record is from RNAcentral.
GACGAACGCUGGCGGCGUGCUUAACACAUGCAAGUCGAACGGAAAGGCCCUGCUUUUGUGGGGCGCUCGAGUGGCGAACGGGUGUGUAACACGUGAGUAACACGCCCCUGACAUUGGGAUAACUUCAGGAAACAGCGGAUAUUAUCGGAGAGGAGAUACUGCUGCACGGUGGGGGUUGGAAAGAUUCGGCGGUUGGGGAUGGUCUGGCGGGUUAUCAGCUUGUUGGUGGGGUAGUGGAUUACCAAGCCUUUGACGGGUAGCGGGCCUGAGAGGGUGACCGGCGGCAUUGGGACUGAGAGACGGCACAGACUGCGACGGGAGGGAACAGGGCGAAAUAUUGCACAAUGGACGGAGGGCUGAUGCAGAAGCGCUGCGUGCGGGAAAACGGCCUUAUGGUUGUAGACCGAUUGCGCCUGUAACGAAGCGUGUGUGGCGGUAAUGGGUACAGAAGGCCCGGCUAACUUCGUG